Molecule: long non-coding RNA, 358 nt
Filed under: Rosa chinensis
Lineage: Eukaryota; Viridiplantae; Streptophyta; Magnoliopsida; Rosales; Rosaceae
Description: sRNA RchiOBHm_Chr4g0441271
Source: RNAcentral
GCCAUAAUCUUUUAUAUAAAUAUGUUAAAAAGAAAGUAUUUAUAUGUACAAUUGAAAGUUCCAAUUUUUCUUUUACCAGAAGAUGAAAGAUAGGUACUACAUAUACUAGAAAAGUAGAAAAUUAAUCAACUUUCCUCUAGUAGCACCUUUCUUCGAGGCAAGCUCAGAGCUUUGUGUAGUCUAUUUUAGUUGGCAAUAUAUGGACGCCAUUGAUCAUCAAAAAAUAUAUGGACGCCAAUGGCUGUUGGUGCCAAAGAACACCAAGCAUUGGCAUCUGUUGCUAUUGCGGUUGCUAGGCUAAAUAAUAAUUGGGGACUCAAUAUAAUUCAGAAGCUUUCAUAAUGAUAGAAUAGAGUAG